This 759-nucleotide ribosomal RNA is filed under the name bacterium. RNAcentral's name for it is "bacterial SSU rRNA". It matches the Rfam family "Bacterial small subunit ribosomal RNA", at positions 94 to 865 of the family's 1533-position model. The record is from RNAcentral.
AGUGGCGAACGGGUGAGUAACACGUGAGUAACCUGCCCCUGACUUCGGGAUAAGCCCGGGAAACUGGGUCUAAUACCGGAUACGACUGUCGGACGCAUGUCUGGUGGUGGAAAGUUUUUUCGGUUGGGGAUGGGCUCGCGGCCUAUCAGUUUGUUGGUGAGGUAAUGGCUCACCAAGACGACGACGGGUAGCCGGCCUGAGAGGGCGACCGGCCACACUGGGACUGAGACACGGCCCAGACUCCUACGGGAGGCAGCAGUGGGGAAUAUUGCACAAUGGGGGAAACCCUGAUGCAGCGACGCAGCGUGCGGGAUGACGGCCUUCGGGUUGUAAACCGCUUUCAGCAGGGAAGAAGCGCAAGUGACGGUACCUGCAGAAGAAGUACCGGCUAACUACGUGCCAGCAGCCGCGGUAAUACGUAGGGUACGAGCGUUGUCCGGAAUUAUUGGGCGUAAAGAGCUCGUAGGUGGUUGGUCACGUCUGCUGUGGAAACGCAACGCUUAACGUUGCGCGUGCAGUGGGUACGGGCUGACUAGAGUGCAGUAGGGGAGUCUGGAAUUCCUGGUGUAGCGGUGAAAUGCGCAGAUAUCAGGAGGAACACCGGUGGCGAAGGCGGGACUCUGGGCUGUAACUGACACUGAGGAGCGAAAGCAUGGGGAGCGAACAGGAUUAGAUACCCUGGUAGUCCAUGCCGUAAACGUUGGGCACUAGGUGUGGGGGGCAUUCCACGUUCUCCGCGCCGUAGCUAACGCAUUAAGU